UUCCCGGUGGUGUAAUUGGUAGCACAUCAGAUUCUGGCUCUGACAGUGGGGGUUCAAGUCCUCCCCGGGAAG
Molecule: transfer RNA, 72 nt
Filed under: Alkalispirochaeta alkalica
Lineage: Bacteria; Pseudomonadati; Spirochaetota; Spirochaetia; Spirochaetales; Spirochaetaceae
Also listed under: 2 other names
Description: tRNA-Gln
Rfam family: tRNA
About the family: Transfer RNA (tRNA) molecules are approximately 80 nucleotides in length.
Source: RNAcentral